UACGAAGGGGGCUAGCGUUGCUCGGAAUUACUGGGCGUAAAGGGCGCGUAGGCGGGUGUUUAAGUCAGAGGUUAAAUCCCAGGGCUCAACCCUGGAACUGCCUUUGAUACUGGGCACCUAGAGUACGGGAGAGGUGUGUGGAACUCCGAGUGUAGAGGUGAAAUUCGUAGAUAUUCGGAAGAACACCAGUGGCGAAGGCGACACACUGGCCCGUUACUGACGCUGAGGCGCGAAAGCGUGGGGAGCAAACAG
Molecule: ribosomal RNA, 252 nt
Filed under: uncultured bacterium
Lineage: Bacteria
Description: partial 16S ribosomal RNA
Rfam family: Bacterial small subunit ribosomal RNA
Source: RNAcentral